AACGAACGCUGGCGGCAUGCCUAACACAUGCAAGUCGAACGAGACCUUCGGGUCUAGUGGCGCACGGGUGCGUAACGCGUGGGAAUCUGCCCUUGGGUUCGGAAUAACAGUUAGAAAUGACUGCUAAUACCGGAUAAUGUCUUCGGACCAAAGAUUUAUCGCCCAGGGAUGAGCCCGCGUAGGAUUAGCUAGUUGGUGAGGUAAAGGCUCACCAAGGCGACGAUCCUUAGCUGGUCUGAGAGGAUGAUCAGCCACACUGGGACUGAGACACGGCCCAGACUCCUACGGGAGGCAGCAGUGGGGAAUAUUGGACAAUGGCGAAAGCCUGAUCCAGCAAUGCCGCGUGAGUGAUGAAGGCCUUAGGGUUGUAAAGCUCUUUUACCCGGGAUGAUAAUGACAGUACCGGGAGAAUAAGCCCCCGGCUAACUCCGUGCCAGCAGCCGCGGUAAU
This 450-nucleotide ribosomal RNA is filed under the name uncultured bacterium. RNAcentral's name for it is "bacterial SSU rRNA". It matches the Rfam family "Bacterial small subunit ribosomal RNA", at positions 29 to 524 of the family's 1533-position model. The record is from RNAcentral.